This 139-nucleotide unclassified non-coding RNA is filed under the name uncultured Ascomycota. RNAcentral describes it as "sequence contains ITS1". The record is from RNAcentral. Lineage: Eukaryota; Fungi; Ascomycota.
CCGAGUUAGGGUCUUUAUGGCCUGACCUCCAACCCCUUGUAUAUACCACCAAUUGUUGCUUCGGUGGGCUGAAAAUGCCUACCGAAGCCCAAAAAAUCUUUAGUAAUGAUAUUGUCUGAGUUUAUAAAAGUAAUAAUUA